AGUGAAGAAAUGGAGGCCCAGAGUCACUUAGAAGAUGCUCGAAGGUGCACAGCUGCUAAGUGGUGGUGCUGGGAUUUGUCCUCAGGUCCUCAAGAGUCCUGACUCUUAUGUGCUGGCUCCCCACGGAGGCGUGGAGUCUUGUUUGCUGGGCAUUUGACAGAAAUGUUUCUGCUCAUCUUCUGCCACAGUGACUCGGGGAUAGCUGCCCUGAUGCCAAGGCGAUUGUCUUCUGGAAGCAGCCACGCCGUGUGAGGUUCCUCAUCACUGCCCUGCAUCUCCCUGCGAGCUCUCGGGGAUAAUUGCAAAAUCACGUUUGAUUCCAGGGGAGCAGAAAGCAGCAGGAGCCGUGAAUUCUCCAACUCUUAACUGGUCCUCGACUGGAGCCACUUUUCCCUGCCCACCCAUCCCUGUGGCGGAUUCAUUACAGUUAUCCAAAGCCGGUUUUAACUUUGCUCCCCCUGGCUCAGAAGUCUGUCAGUGGGUCCUGAGCGGCUUCACCAUUCAAGUUUAUUCCUAUCAGCCUGGAAUACAAUGCUCUAUCUGGC
Long non-coding RNA from Homo sapiens (human), 545 nucleotides. Ensembl annotates it as opioid growth factor receptor pseudogene 1. Its record names the gene OGFRP1. NCBI's taxonomy places the organism in Eukaryota, Metazoa, Chordata, Mammalia, Primates, Hominidae. The record is from Ensembl.